Non-coding RNA from Schistosoma haematobium, 45 nucleotides. NCBI's taxonomy places the organism in Eukaryota, Metazoa, Platyhelminthes, Trematoda, Strigeidida, Schistosomatidae. The record is from Rfam.
AUCCAGUUGACGAGUCCCAAAAUAAGAGAAACAUGUGUCCUGGAU